AAGCACGCCAGUAGACCCUUUCUGACUGCACAUAGACUUAAAGGGGGGACAGAGCAUGCAAAAGUAAAAAGGGCUUUGCAAGUUCAAUCAGGGAUAUCCAUAAUACCCGAUGAUCUUGUAGAACCCACACAAAU
Pelobates cultripes (western spadefoot toad) is the source of this 134-nucleotide non-coding RNA. Lineage: Eukaryota; Metazoa; Chordata; Amphibia; Anura; Pelobatidae. The record is from the annotation of a GenBank genome assembly.